CAGAGAAACUCGCCCGCAAGGGUGACUCUCCAACCCUAUGUUAACUAUACCUUUGUUGCUUUGGCGAGCCGCCUCGGCCACCGGCUCACGCUGGUGAGCGCUCGCCAGAGGACCCUAAACUCUGUUUAUACAUGUCGUCUGAGUACUAUAUAAUAGUUA
This 159-nucleotide unclassified non-coding RNA is filed under the name uncultured Helotiales. Its description in RNAcentral is "sequence contains ITS1". Lineage: Eukaryota; Fungi; Ascomycota; Leotiomycetes; Helotiales. The record is from RNAcentral.